This 1435-nucleotide ribosomal RNA is filed under the name uncultured bacterium. RNAcentral describes it as "bacterial SSU rRNA". It matches the Rfam family "Bacterial small subunit ribosomal RNA". The record is from RNAcentral.
AGAGUUUGAUCUCUGGCUCAGGAUGAACGCCGGCGGUGUGCCUAAUACAUGCAAGUCGUACGCACUGGCCCAACUGAUUGAUGGUGCUUGCACCUGAUUGACGAUGGAUCACCAGUGAGUGGCGGACGGGUGAGUAACACGUAGGUAACCUGCCUCGGAGCGGGGGAUAACAUUUGGAAACAGAUGCUAAUACCGCAUAACAACAAAAGCCACAUGGCUUUUGUUUGAAAGAUGGCUUUGGCUAUCACUCUGGGAUGGACCUGCGGUGCAUUAGCUAGUUGGUAAGGUAACGGCUUACCAAGGCAAUGAUGCAUAGCCGAGUUGAGAGACUGAUCGGCCACAAUGGAACUGAGACACGGUCCAUACUCCUACGGGAGGCAGCAGUAGGGAAUCUUCCACAAUGGGCGCAAGCCUGAUGGAGCAACACCGCGUGGGUGAAGAAGGGUUUCGGCUCGUAAAGCUCUGUUGUUGGAGAAGAACGUGCGUGAGAGUAACUGUUCACGCAGUGACGGUAUCCAACCAGAAAGUCACGGCUAACUACGUGCCAGCAGCCGCGGUAAUACGUAGGUGGCAAGCGUUAUCCGGAUUUAUUGGGCGUAAAGCGAGCGCAGGCGGUUGCUUAGGUCUGAUGUGAAAGCCUUCGGCUUAACCGAAGAAGUGCAUCGGAAACCGGGCGACUUGAGUGCAGAAGAGGACAGUGGAACUCCAUGUGUAGCGGUGGAAUGCGUAGAUAUAUGGAAGAACACCAGUGGCGAAAGCGGCUCUCUGGUCUGUAACUGACGCUGAGGUUCGAAAGCAUGGGUAGCGAACAGGAUUAGAUACCCUGGUAGUCCAUGCCGUAAACGAUGAGUGCUAAGUGUUGGGAGGUUUCCGCCUCUCAGUGCUGCAGCUAACGCAUUAAGCACUCCGCCUGGGGAGUACGACCGCAAGGUUGAAACUCAAAGGAAUUGACGGGGGCCCGCACAAGCGGUGGAGCAUGUGGUUUAAUUCGAAGCAACGCGAAGAACCUUACCAGGUCUUGACAUCCAGUGCAAACCUAAGAGAUUAGGUGUUCCCUUCGGGGACGCUGAGACAGGUGGUGCAUGGCUGUCGUCAGCUCGUGUCGUGAGAUGUUGGGUUAAGUCCCGCAACGAGCGCAACCCUUGUCAUUAGUUGCCAUCAUUAAGUUGGGCACUCUAAUGAGACUGCCGGUGACAAACCGGAGGAAGGUGGGGAUGACGUCAAGUCAUCAUGCCCCUUAUGACCUGGGCUACACACGUGCUACAAUGGACGGUACAACGAGAAGCGAACCUGCGAAGGCAAGCGGAUCUCUUAAAGCUGUUCUCAGUUCGGACUGUAGGCUGCAACUCGCCUACACGAAGCUGGAAUCGCUAGUAAUCGCGGAUCAGCACGCCGCGGUGAAUACGUUCCCGGGCCUUGCACUCACCGCCCGUCA